AAAGGUACUAUGGCUGAAAGGGAACAGGGAGGAAGGACUCAGGAAGCCUUGUGUGCUCAGUCUAAACACCUGGCUACCCAGCAAAAAGCAGGGCCAGUGCUAUGUUCCGGGGAUGCAGUCAUUUAUAAGAGCAUCAUGGUCUCUGUUUCUUAUGGAGUUCACAGUCUCAGAGGAGGAAAAUGAGCUGCAGAAGGAUCAAAUGACCUGCCUGAGGUGCCCUAUCUGUUGGCACAGGCCAGAGCACAUGGUGGAUGCAGGGGCACCCCCUUCCCUUCUCCUCCCCUCCGGCUCUUUGCUGACAGGAUUCUCUCUUGCCUUCUCUGAUGGUACCUGUGCUACGUGCCACAUCCUUUCCCUCAAUGAAUUUCAGGCAGUGGAAGGGGCCGCAGAAGUUCCUUGACUCAUGAGGCGAGGCAUUCAGCGGCCUCGUGACACCUCCCAGGAUCUGCAGUCAUUGGGCUGCACUUGCCAAUAGCAACACCUGGCAAAAAUAGCUAAGAAGCAGAGCGGCCUGGGCUCAGGAGCUGAGCAACCCCUGACUGGCCAGAUGGAGACUGUGUUGAGCUCUGCCCAAGCCCUGUGAUCCUGGAAAACAGUGAAGUUAAGGAGCCAUCUGCAUUCUAGGGAAUGGCCCACUGCAAAAAAUAGCCUUCCUUAUAGGACGUAGAGGACUCAUGAUGUCCCCUCAUUUAUGAUGAGCCAACACACAGCCCUUCCAAAUUCCGAUUCUUUGCUUCAUAACUGAUGAGCUGUUUUGUUCCCACUGGUCAAUCGGAACAACAUUCUUGCUAACCAGAUUUUGGUUCAGCUCUUCUCCCUCCCCAUGUACCUGCCCUGUGUCCUGUCCUCAUCCUGAGCCAGCACACACCCCUCCUUAGUAGCUCCUCCUGCAGCAGGCUGACCUCGGACUCUCCCUGAUCCAUUGUCCAAAUAUAUCACCCUUUCACCCUACAUCCUCACACCCCAUUCUUUCUAGUUUUGUUCAUUCCUCCCUGUGAAAGAUGAACCCUCUUUGCCUAACCCCGGACCUGCUUGCAGACUGCUAUGAUGGCCAGAGUGUCCCCCCUACUGCAAGAGUCCCUUCUGUCCCUUGCAACAUCUUUUAAAUAAAAUCUCUCUUUACCAA
Molecule: long non-coding RNA, 1126 nt
Organism: Homo sapiens (human)
Lineage: Eukaryota; Metazoa; Chordata; Mammalia; Primates; Hominidae
Product: long intergenic non-protein coding RNA 2346
Source: Ensembl